This 783-nucleotide ribosomal RNA is filed under the name Acinetobacter sp. A1b-37. RNAcentral's name for it is "bacterial SSU rRNA". It matches the Rfam family "Bacterial small subunit ribosomal RNA", at positions 97 to 873 of the family's 1533-position model. The record is from RNAcentral. Lineage: Bacteria; Pseudomonadati; Pseudomonadota; Gammaproteobacteria; Moraxellales; Moraxellaceae.
GGCGGACGGGUGAGUAAUACUUAGGAAUCUGCCUAUUAAUGGGGGACAACAUCUCGAAAGGGAUGCUAAUACCGCAUACGCCCUACGGGGGAAAGCAGGGGAUCACUUGUGACCUUGCGUUAAUAGAUGAGCCUAAGUCGGAUUAGCUAGUUGGUGGGGUAAAGGCCUACCAAGGCGACGAUCUGUAGCGGGUCUGAGAGGAUGAUCCGCCACACUGGGACUGAGACACGGCCCASACUCCUACGGGAGGCAGCAGUGGGGAAUAUUGGACAAUGGGGGGAACCCUGAUCCAGCCRUGCCGCGUGUGUGAAGAAGGACUUAUGGUUGUAAAGCACUUUAAGCGAGGAGGAGGCUCCUGUAGUUAAUACCUACAGUGAGUGGACGUUACUCGCAGAAUAAGCACCGGAUAAAUCUGUGCCAGCAGCCGCGGUAAUACAGAGGGUGCGAGCGUUAAUCGGAUUUACUGGGCGUAAAGCGUGCGUAGGCGGCUUUUUAAGUCGGAUGUGAAAUCCCCGAGCUUAACUUGGGAAUUGCAUUCRAUACUGGGAAGCUAGAGUAUGGGAGAGGAUGGUAGAAUUCCAGGUGUAGCGGUGAAAUGCGUAGAGAUCUGGAGGAAUACCGAUGGCGAAGGCAGCCAUCUGGCCUAAUACUGACGCUGAGGUACGAAAGCAUGGGGAGCAAACAGGAUUAGAUACCCUGGUAGUCCAUGCCGUAAACGAUGUCUACUAGCCGUUGGGGCCUUUGASGCUUUAGUGGCGCAGCUAACGCGAUAAGUASACCGCC